UAGAAAACAUGACCAAUGGGGAAGAUUGAAAGAACUGGGCUUGUUUAAUCUGCAAAAGCCACUCCCUCAGCCUAGGGGACAGCAGGAGGUGAAUCAGUCAAGGCUGUGGACUUUGCUGCCUGGAGCUCAGAACUGAAAAUUAUAACUUUUUGGUGGACCAGUCAAAAAUCGAUGCAAGAAGCGUGCUAUACCAUCCUAGAUAUAUUACAAAAUGAGAGCAGCUAAGCAUUCUCAUGUCCUGAUUCUACUGCCUCAAGGCAAACAAGGAACUAGUACUGAAUUUCCAACUUUAUCUUGCUCCCCUGUGAAAGUAUUAUUUGCAUUAUAGCAGAAAGGCUAUAGUGCUUGUUUCAUUUGUAAACAAUAUGCAGUAGCUUUCAAAAUGGAUCAAAGAAAUAAAACAGCAAAAAAUGCUACAUUCACUAUACUAACAAAGUUGGAAUCUGUUGUGUGAAUCACAUGUUCUUGGAAUUCCAAGUGCACUGAAGUUGUUCCUGAUCCCAAGAGAUUCAGAUAAGUAAAACAGAUACAUGCAGAUAAAAGAGACUUUCUUUUUAAAUAUUUCUCAAAUAAAAAAAAGAUGAAGCUAAACAUUAAAAUACAAUAACAAAUUAUGUUUUGAUAAUUUUCUCUGAGAGACUCUUUUUUUCAAGCAUGAGCCAAAUGGGAAAAGCAGAGAAAGAAUAAAAUGAUCAAGUAAACUUUUUUUAAAACAUUAUGCAGCAAAAGGAAAAAAAAUACUGGCAAAUAAAAGAAACAGCCCAUAAUCUAACCCAACAAACCGAUGUGUGCCAACCAUACUUAGAAAAAAACCCAAACAGAUUGAGACAUGCUAGUUCCUAGCAGCGUUAUACAGGCAGUCCCCGGGUUACGUACAAGAUAGAGAC
Pelodiscus sinensis (Chinese soft-shelled turtle) is the source of this 887-nucleotide non-coding RNA. The record is from RefSeq and is a predicted model, not a curated record. Lineage: Eukaryota; Metazoa; Chordata; Testudines; Trionychidae.